Molecule: ribosomal RNA, 650 nt
Filed under: Pseudozyma hubeiensis
Lineage: Eukaryota; Fungi; Basidiomycota; Ustilaginomycetes; Ustilaginales; Ustilaginaceae
Description: eukaryotic LSU rRNA
Rfam family: Eukaryotic large subunit ribosomal RNA
Source: RNAcentral
UCAGAGAAAGGGAUUUAUUUCAAUUCAUCGGCCUCAGAUUGGUAGGACUACCCGCUGAACUUAAGCAUAUCAAUAAGCGGAGGAAAAGAAACUAACAAGGAUUCCCCUAGUAACGGCGAGUGAAGAGGGAAGAGCCCAAGAUUGAAAGCUGGCGCCUUCGGCGUCCGCAUUGUAAUCUCAAGAAGUGUUUUCCGCUUCGGACCAUGCCUAAGUCCCUUGGAAAAGGGCAUCAUAGAGGGUGAUAAUCCCGUACAUGGCAUGGAGCGCCCGAAGCUUUGUGAUACGCUUUCUAAGAGUCGAGUUGUUUGGGAAUGCAGCUCAAAAUGGGUGGUAAAUGCCAUCUAAGGCUAAAUAUUGGGGAGAGACCGAUAGCGAACAAGUACAGUGAUGGAAAGAUGAAAAGAACUUUGAAAAGAGAGUUAAACAGUACGUGAAAUUGCCAAAAGGGAAGGGUAGGAGGUCAGAGAUGCGUCGCAGGAUUCAGCCUUGCUUUUGCUUGGUGUUUUUCCUGCGUUGCAGGCCAACGUCGGUUUUGGGCACUGGAGAAGGGUAGGAGGAACGUGGCACCUCUCGGGGUGUGUUAUAGCCUCCUACUGGAUACAGCGACCGAGACCGAGGAACGCAGCGUACUCGUAAGAGCGGGCCUUUUG